CGAAUGCUGACAUAAGUAACGAUAAAGCGGGUGAAAAGCCCGCUCGCCGGAAGACCAAGGGUUCCUGUCCAACGUUAAUCGGGGCAGGGUGAGUCGACCCCUAAGGCGAGGCCGAAAGGCGUAGUCGAUGGGAAACAGGUUAAUAUUCCUGUACUUGGUGUUACUGCGAAGGGGGGACGGAGAAGGCUAUGUUGGCCGGGCGACGGUUGUCCCGGUUUAAGCGUGUAGGCUGGUUUUCCAGGCAAAUCCGGAAAAUCAAGGCUGAGGCGUGAUGACGAGGCACUACGGUGCUGAAGCAACAAAUGCCCUGCUUCCAGGAAAAGCCUCUAAGCAUCAGGUAACAUCAAAUCGUACCCCAAACCGACACAGGUGGUCAGGUAGAG
RNAcentral lists this ribosomal RNA (383 nucleotides) under Escherichia coli. Its description in RNAcentral is "partial 23S ribosomal RNA". It matches the Rfam family "Bacterial large subunit ribosomal RNA", at positions 1291 to 1676 of the family's 2925-position model. The record is from RNAcentral. Lineage: Bacteria; Pseudomonadati; Pseudomonadota; Gammaproteobacteria; Enterobacterales; Enterobacteriaceae.